This 1187-nucleotide ribosomal RNA is filed under the name Bacteroidetes bacterium enrichment culture clone S1. Its description in RNAcentral is "bacterial SSU rRNA". It matches the Rfam family "Bacterial small subunit ribosomal RNA", at positions 78 to 1270 of the family's 1533-position model. The record is from RNAcentral. Lineage: Bacteria; Pseudomonadati; Bacteroidota.
GUUUUCCGCCGGCGACCGGCGCACGGGUGCGGAACGCGUAUGGAACCUGCCCCUGUCAGGGGAAUAGCCCAGGGAAACUUGGAUUAAUGCCCCAUGGUACCGAUAUAUCCGCAUGAUAUUUUGAUUAAAGAUUUGUCGGACAGGGAUGGCCAUGCGGACCAUUAGUUAGAUGGUGAGGUAACGGCUCACCAUGGCAGCGAUGGUUAGGGGCCCUGAGAGGGGGAUCCCCCACACUGGUACUGAGACACGGACCAGACUCCUACGGGAGGCAGCAGUGAGGAAUAUUGGACAAUGGUCGGGAGACUGAUCCAGCCAUGCCGCGUGCAGGAUGACUGCCCUAUGGGUUGUAAACUGCUUUUAUACGGGAAGAAACGCACCUACGUGUAGGUGUCUGACGGUACCGUAAGAAUAAGGACCGGCUAACUCCGUGCCAGCAGCCGCGGUAAUACGGAGGGUCCGAGCGUUAUCCGGAAUCAUUGGGUUUAAAGGGUCCGUAGGCGGGCCUGUAAGUCAGGGGUGAAAGUUUGUGGCUCAACCAUAAAAUUGCCUUUGAUACUGCAGGUCUUGAGUCAUGGUGGGGUUGCCGGAACAUGUGGUGUAGCGGUGAAAUGCAUAGAUAUCACAUAGAACACCGAUCGCGAAGGCAGGUGACCAACCAUGUACUGACGCUGAUGGACGAAAGCGUGGGUAGCGAACGGGAUUAGAUACCCCGGUAGUCCACGCCGUAAACGAUGGAUACUAGCUGUGGGGACUUCGGUCUCCGUGGCCAAGCGAAAGUGAUAAGUAUCCCACCUGGGGAGUACGUUCGCAAGAAUGAAACUCAAAGGAAUUGACGGGGGCCCGCACAAGCGGUGGAGCAUGUGGUUUAAUUCGAUGAUACGCGAGGAACCUUACCAGGGCUUAAAUGCAGGCUGCAUGGGGUAGAGAUACCCCUUUCUUCGGACUGCCUGCAAGGUGCUGCAUGGUUGUCGUCAGCUCGUGCCGUGAGGUGUCAGGUUAAGUCCUAUAACGAGCGCAACCCCUACCGUUAGUUGCCAGCAUGUCAAGAUGGGGACUCUAACGGGACUGCCGGUGCAAACCGUGAGGAAGGUGGGGACGACGUCAAAUCAUCACGGCCCUUACGUCCUGGGCCACACACGUGCUACAAUGGCCGGUACAGAGGGAAGCCACCCCGCAAGGGGGCGCGG